Molecule: long non-coding RNA, 3038 nt
Organism: Microcebus murinus (gray mouse lemur)
Lineage: Eukaryota; Metazoa; Chordata; Mammalia; Primates; Cheirogaleidae
Source: RefSeq, a predicted model, not a curated record
UUAAAAAAAAAAAGCCCCUCAAAUCAAAUGUUGUGCAGUAAUAGAUGAACUCAAGGGAACCAAUUUUAAGCUAACACUUCUACAGUACAUUUUAAUUUUUAAAAGGAACUUUUUGGCUCUUGUUACAUAUAUGAGGAACAAAAGGCCUUGUCACAGAUUGUGGCAAGGCACCGAUUAUCCCUUGAUACGUUUUGUCCUGUAUUGUCACACAGACAUUUUAAUCUCACAUGCAAGUCACCUUGCCAUUUUACUCAUAAGUGAAAACUAAAAGACACAAAGAUGUGAAUUAAACUCACCUGCAAACUAAGAGCUUGGCAAAAUAAUUAAAGGGUGAAAAGGCUAUCACACUAAUCCAUUUAUUUUUUUGCCUUGAACAUUUACUACUGAAAUUGAAUAAGCUCCUGCCAGCACGGGCAGUUACAGCUGCCACACUUUUGCAAAUUUUGUAUUAAAAUCCAUUUCCAAAGCACAGGCUAUGUGGGCUACCGGCUGCACGUGCCCGAGGUGCUAAUCAAAUGAACCCUUAACUACUGCCACUUCUGGUCAGUAUCCAAUUAGACCUCUUACCCUCCAUUAGCCGAGGGCUAUGGCUCAACUUGGUUGUGGAGCGGUUUCCCAAAGCCACAGGGUGUCACAAUGGUGACUCCACACGCUGUGAAUAAAUUCAGGGGCAGGGGUGCUUUCUUCCGGGACCCUAGACCCCCGCUUCCCGCCUGGAAUGAGAAACUGCGUGGGUCGCGGGCUGCAAAGAAAACGCCAAAGCCACGUAGCAGUGCUGACACGCGCGGAGGGAAACGCGAGGGCCCGCGUCCCUGCAGGAGGCCAAGGCCGGCAGCCCGGCCCAGACAGCUAAGACCACGCCGGGAACGCGCGGAGGGGGCGUGGCCGGCGCGCCGUCACGUGGUGGGCGGGCCCGUUCCUUCCCUGAAGGGGCGGAGCCUGCAGGCCACCACGUGGUGGGCGGCGCCUCAGCCUGAAUUUCCAGGGAGCCGCCAGCGUGGCCAGGUCCCGCAGGGCUGAAUGGGAGAGGUCUGGGCACAUGAUUACUGCUGGGAAAACGGCAGGUGUGACUCAUGAGAGAUCAAAGCUCACCUCAGGAGAACCUCCAGGGGGAAGAAACAGCCAACGGAACCCCCGGGGCCAGGCAGGAAAAGCAAGUAAACAAGUGACUGACGCACUUUGUAGACAGCCUCUGCUGGGCCAGUGUGAGCAGGGGAAGUCGAGGAAGCUGGCCAGGAUGGGGGCGGCCCCCGGUGGGCUCGGCUAACAGCUCAUUGUUCCUCAGCGUUCCCAGGGAAUAAAGUUGGCUUCCAGCAUGACAAGCGUGCCAGGAGGACAGGCUAUUUGUGUUGAUAAACACGAAAGGAGGGGAAGUGACUAGCUGGGGGCAGGGUGGGUUUGAGUGGAAUGUGCCUUUUUCUGGGAAUCUGUAUACUAGGCUCCUAUGGGACGGGAGAGGAAGAGGGAGAAGGAGGAGGCAACGUUGGAUACUGUUAAACACAGGGGACCUGGAGGUGGGCAGACCUGGGUUCUAAUCCUGGGGCCUCUAUUUCCUAACUUUGAAACUUGGCCCUGUUUUUUUAAAUUUCUCUGGGCCUUGGCUUUGUUAUCAAUGAAAUGGGAACGGUAAUUCCUCACCCAUAAGGUUGCCUGGAAAGCUUAAUGAGAUAAUGCCCCUUAAGUGUCUGACACAUAGAAAGUUCUUUAAAAAACGAUUACUCUUGUUGUGAGGACGCUGCUGUAUCAGUGAGGGGGGAGGGGGGCGAGGAGAGGAAGCGGUGCACUAUGGGAAGCAGCACGGCACUGUCAGGCUCCUGGGUUUUGGUCAAGGUUCUGGCACAACGCCAUGCCACCGUGUGAUCCCCAGCAAGUCACUCCCCAUCACGGGAGCUAGUUGUGCCUCCCGGGAAUGAGGGUGCUGAACACCAGCGACCCCGGGGCUCAUUCUCCUGCUGAGAUCCAGGGUUCGAAAGAGCUGUAGCCGGAGUGUUAAAAACAAAAAUAACCCCUCGGCAGCCAAGCCAGGUUUGUUCCCAUCACGGUGUCCUCCGCGGGAACCUGACUCCUCCCGUCACGGUCCUGCCACUUCUCAGCACGGGCUCAGAUUCAUUGCUUUGGGAUUAUGUGCAGAGCCCGUUCUGGGAGCCAAAUUAGAAAAUCAUCUCGUUGCUUUAUAGACACAAAUUUCUUUCUCUCUGUUUAUUUAUUUAUUUAGUUUUGGACCAAGAAAAGCUCUCGUUCCCUUAAGGCAAAUUAGAUUGCAGUUCCAGUUUUGCCACUGACUAGUGGAGGAUCGUGACGUCGUCUCUUUUGUCCUUGGCUUGUCCCCCUGGAACCCGGGGACAGCGAUACCCGCCGUGUGGCAUGCUGUGUCAUGCAUGCAAGAGGCUCGGCUCGGGUGGGCAGUGAAACACACCCAGAUGUGCGCGCAGGUACACGCGUACAGACGCCUUCCUCCCCUCGCUCCGUCCCCGCCCUCAUCGCCGUCCCCAUUUUACCGCUUCACCCACGGAAUAAAUUCACAGCCCACCAAGCUAUCAGGCGCCAAAUGGUUUUCAUUAAUUUCUAAAAAUCAGGUAUACUUUUGGAGGAAAAGAUUUGCUACCAUGAAGCAUAUUCGAAGAGAUGUGCUCAGACUCUAAAGACGUCUGUUUACACCAAGUGUGUGUGUGUGUGUGUGUGUGUGUGUGUGUGUGUGUGUGAACGUGCACAUGUGGUAUUUAGUGAAACCCUUUACCCCUGUGAGACCAGCCAGUAGAUCCAAAGCCGACGCCGUGAGGCAGAGCCAGGACCUGGCUUCGGAAAGUGGGGCUCAGGGUGCUACCAAGAGCCAGGGAAAUAUUGAGAGUGCCAGCCAGCCCCGGCCUCCAGGCUCAGAGAAACCUACCUUGGCUGGGUGACCUCUGCCAAUCCCAUCAUCUUUUGAAGUCUCAGUUUAUUCAUCAGGAAAAUGGGGAUAAUGACAUAAGCCUCAUCAAGUUGCUGUGAGGAUUGUAAGUGGUGAUUCCAUAAACAAGCAGGCACCCGUGGGUGGGACU